GACGAACGCUGGCGGCAUGCCUAAUACAUGCAAGUCGAGCGAACAGAUGAAGUGCUUGCACUUCUGACGUUAGCGGCGAACGGGUGAGUAACACGUAAGGAAUCUACCUAUAAGCGGGGGAUAACAUUCGGAAACGGGUGCUAAUACCGCAUAAUAUCUUCUUCCGCAUGGAAGAAGAUUGAAAGACGGCUCUGCUGUCACUUAGAGAUGAACUUGCGGUGCAUUAGUUAGUUGGUGGGGUAACGGCCUACCAAGACGAUGAUGCAUAGCCGACCUGAGAGGGUGAUCGGACACAUUGGGACUGAGACACGGCACAAACUCCUACGGGAGGCAGCAGUAGGGAAUCUUCCGCAAUGGGCGAAAGCCUGACGGAGCAAUGCCGCGUGAGUGAAGAAGGCCUUCGGGUCGUAAAACUCUGUUAUAAGAGAAGAACAAAUUGUAGAGUAACUGCUACAGUCUUGACGGUAUCUUAUCAGAAAGCCACGGCUAACUACGUGCCAGCAGCCGCGGUAA
This 513-nucleotide ribosomal RNA is filed under the name uncultured bacterium. Its description in RNAcentral is "partial 16S ribosomal RNA". It matches the Rfam family "Bacterial small subunit ribosomal RNA", at positions 28 to 523 of the family's 1533-position model. The record is from RNAcentral.